AUGGCUACCGCCGUAGCAGGAAGCUUGCCUGCAGUGACUCCACCUACAGUCAUCACCGACGAUCAACGAAGAUGGGUCGUCAUUGGCAUUUGUCUCAACAAACUUCUUACUCCGCUAUUGAGAAAUGUCCUUGCAAAAGAAAUGUUGGGUUGGUAUAACCUACUUUGCCUCCCGUCGUCAAAGCAAAUCAACAAGCAAAUUUACAAAAAAGAAACAAAAACAUUACCACCUUCCACGAUAAAACUUAAUUAUGGUAAUAUCAACAAGAAUUAUGACAACCACAAGUCAACAUAUAAUGCUUAUGAUUAUAAUGUCAAAGAUCCGGAAUCUCUUGCCAAGUUAUUUGUCCAACCUUUCAUGGCAAAGUUCAACGGCUUUGACCAAACCAUGGAUCUUUCUGCUGUAUUAACAGUGAUGUGUGAAGCUGACCCAUUUCACACAUCUGGAACUGCUGCACAGGCAAAUACAGUUCGUUCAGUGGUGAGGAACGAAUGGGCUCAUUGUAAUUUUUCACACUGGAGCGAUGCAAAUUAUCUCUCGUGUAUACAGCAUAUCGAGACACUGGUGAAGAAAUUAAACUUGCCAAGUGCUGACGAAAACGAAUUUCUUAAAGAACUGAAUAACUGGAAAGACAAAGGUAAUUUUCUUGUAUAAUAUUUACAUGUAUUUUCAGCAGCAAAUUUGCCAAACUUGCAGGGAACGUUUAUCCAAAGAAUAUUUACAGAAAAUUUGAUAUUCACACGCUUAAUCUAGCUCUUAACCAAUCAGAUGCGUACUGAUCCAGUAGGGGAAGGCGCGGGUAGUGGUAGUGGUAGUGGUAGUGAAAAUCAAAUUAUAACCACUCCAUAAUAUAUCUAUAGUCAUGUAAAAUAAUGCUGUAAAGUGACCAGCCUAUGAUUUACUAGGCGGGAAAAAAGUUAGAAAGUUAAUGAAGUUUGCAUAAAUUUAUGUAUUCCUAGACUUCCUACACCCAAUAUUCCCCCCCGUGCAUUAACAGACCUAAACGCACUAUUAGAGUUUUCCUAUAAUUUAUUUUAUAAGGUUAGUAGGAGAUAUUACAUAGGAAUCAAUUUUACUCAAAAUUUCCUAACAUGUAAUCAGUGAAAUCCGCGCAUGUACUUAUAUUUGUCGCUUAGCAACACGCUUGUCGACAUAAGCGGGGAAGGAGCAGCUGAGGAAAACAAUUGGCGCUUUCCAUUAACAUGGCCAAACCGGUCAGAACGGUCAAAUUGUUGAAUGAAACACAAAACAUUUGGGCUUCGGACCUAUCUAACCGGAAAAUUUUGAUAACAUUAGAAUGAGGUCCAUUUUCGCUAGACAUUUGAGAAACAUAGACCAGAUCUUUCCUUUGAUACUGAGAAAAGUAUUCAGGUCUGACCGGUCAGGCCAUUGAAUGGAAAGCGCCCAAUGUUACAGUUGAGAAAAUCUAUUUAAAACGCUGGAAAUAGAACAAUUAGUGAUAAGCAAACUAAGUUUGUAAGAUUUUUCAGCAUCUGGCCUGCCGGAAUUGCCAUGAAAACCGUGGAAUACGUCGGAUUGCUUGAAAUUAUUGUAUUUUUUCCUGAAAAUAUAUUUGACAGUUUCUAUCAGAGGUAUUAAAGGUACUUUCUAAAUCACAUUUGUUCAGAUUUCGUACAUUUUUCUGGUUUUGGUAUUUCCGCUGUAUCUUUAUCUGUAAGUUUUUCUCGGCUAUUUUUUUUUGUCUAUUUUUCCUUGCUUUCUGAUAAAUUUUGUAUUUUAAAAACUUUAUGGUUUUGUUUAUAUUUGUGGCUACAAAGUGGAGCGGGAAAAAACACAGAAAGACCACAGUGCAUUAUUGCAUUAGGCCUAUAACGCAAGCGCAUUAGCCAAUCAAAUUGUAUGUUAUAUCGGCCUUAUAUUACAAAUGGAUUCAACAUCUGCUAGAAUUCGGAUGCUCUAUUUUACCAACAUUUGGCGUUUUUGAGACUGGACAUGAAUUCAUGCAAAUUUUUGGAACUAUCACGUUGAACGUUCAAAACGAGUUUACUCGUACUAAAUUUGGCAAACACAAGCAUGUUUUGCGCCACCAUUAUAGGUCUAAAACUUCAAAUAAUAUAAUGACCAGUUUAAAUUGUAUUUACGUAAGUAAUGCAUUCUACGAUGAGGUCUUGUGUAAACACCAUUCUUGUUCGGUUCUGUGCUCUUAUAUAUGUUUCGUCUAGAGUGUCAUGAUUUCAUUGUGUAUUUCUUCACCGUGGGUGCAAAUUAAACGCACCAUCUGCGCCAUUUACGUAUACAGUAUAUUACAAUUCCGGGAGUCAUAUUAUUUUCUAUUUUCUCCUCGAUCUUGAAGUUUUUUCCUCCAUAUUAUUAUUUUCUAGCCACUUCCAAAACACACUGCUCCAAUAUGAUAUUGUUUUCUUGACGUUGGAGCAAAACCCGUUGUGUCGUUUCGGUACCUACCAAAUCAUAUCUCUUGAGUGAUGAGUCGCUGUAUACAUGGUUGAUAACGUACAUUGGAAACAUAUCUGGAGAUUGACAUCCUCGCACGUGUUCGCCGGCCUCCCUGACAAAGGGCAUAAUCACCAUUUCACCAUUUGAUUUUUUUAAAGGUCCACAAUUAUGCUGUGGUCAGGCAGUAGACGCUGAUCUUCUUAAAAUUGUCAAGACUAACGUGUCAGAACUUUACGAAUCUGUGACAAUACUGGAAGAAGAGAACCAAG
Molecule: non-coding RNA, 2684 nt
Organism: Paramuricea clavata
Lineage: Eukaryota; Metazoa; Cnidaria; Anthozoa; Malacalcyonacea; Plexauridae
Source: the annotation of a GenBank genome assembly